CCUACGGGAGGCAGCAGUAGGGAAUAUUGCUCAAUGGGGGAAACCCUGAAGCAGCAACGCCGCGUGGAGGAUGAAGGUUUUAGGAUUGUAAACUCCUUUUGUGAGAGAAGAUUAUGACGGUAUCUCACGAAUAAGCACCGGCUAACUCCGUGCCAGCAGCCGCGGUAAUACGGAGGGUGCAAGCGUUACUCGGAAUCACUGGGCGUAAAGAGUGCGCAGGCGGGUAGUCAAGUCAGAUGUGAAAUCCUAUAGCUUAACUAUAGAACUGCAUUUGAAACUGAUUAUCUAGAGUGUGGGAGAGGUAGGUGGAAUUCUUGGUGUAGGGGUAAAAUCCGUAGAGAUCAAGAGGAAUACUCAUUGCGAAGGCGACCUACUGGAACAUUACUGACGCUCAUGCACGAAAGCGUGGGGAGCAAACAGGAUUAGAUACCCGAGUAGUC
This 440-nucleotide ribosomal RNA is filed under the name uncultured bacterium. RNAcentral's name for it is "bacterial SSU rRNA". It matches the Rfam family "Bacterial small subunit ribosomal RNA", at positions 338 to 795 of the family's 1533-position model. The record is from RNAcentral.